Molecule: ribosomal RNA, 273 nt
Filed under: uncultured bacterium
Lineage: Bacteria
Description: partial 16S ribosomal RNA
Rfam family: Bacterial small subunit ribosomal RNA
Source: RNAcentral
UACGUAGGCAGCGAGCGUUGUUCGGAGUUACUGGGCGUAAAGCGUGCGUAGGCGGUUUUCCAAGUCUGGUGUGAAAUCUCCCGGCUCAACCGGGAGGGUGCGCUAGAAACUGGGAGGCUGGAGUGCGGGAGAGGUAGGCGGAAUUCCUGGUGUAGCGGUGAAAUGCGUAGAUAUCAGGAGGAACACCGGUGGUGUAGACGGCCUGCUGGACCGUGACUGACGCUGAGGCACGAAAGCGUGGGGAGCAAACAGGAUUAGAUACCCCCGUAGUCC